CCUACGGGAGGCAGCAGUGGGGAAUAUUGCGCAAUGGGCGAAAGCCUGACGCAGCGACGCCGCGUGAGGGACGAAGGCCUUCGGGUUGUAAACCUCUUUCAGCAGGGACGAAGCGAAAGUGACGGUACCUGCAGAAGAAGCACCGGCUAACUACGUGCCAGCAGCCGCGGUAAUACGUAGGGUGCAAGCAUUGUCCGGAUUUAUUGGGCGUAAAGAGCUCGUAGGCGGCUUGUCACGUCGGGUGUGAAAACUCGGGGCUCAACCCCGAGCCUGCACUCGA
RNAcentral lists this ribosomal RNA (280 nucleotides) under uncultured bacterium. RNAcentral describes it as "partial 16S ribosomal RNA". It matches the Rfam family "Bacterial small subunit ribosomal RNA", at positions 338 to 630 of the family's 1533-position model. The record is from RNAcentral.